RNAcentral lists this transfer RNA (73 nucleotides) under Paramuricea clavata. RNAcentral's name for it is "tRNA-Val". It matches the Rfam family "tRNA". From Rfam's summary of the family: Transfer RNA (tRNA) molecules are approximately 80 nucleotides in length. Lineage: Eukaryota; Metazoa; Cnidaria; Anthozoa; Malacalcyonacea; Plexauridae. The record is from RNAcentral.
GUUUCCGUAGUGUAGUGGUCAUCACGUGCGUCUAACUCACGCAAGGUCCCAAGUUCGAUACUGGGCGGAAACA